This 253-nucleotide ribosomal RNA is filed under the name uncultured bacterium. Its description in RNAcentral is "partial 16S ribosomal RNA". It matches the Rfam family "Bacterial small subunit ribosomal RNA", at positions 524 to 776 of the family's 1533-position model. The record is from RNAcentral.
UACGUAGGGUGCAAGCGUUAAUCGGAAUUACUGGGCGUAAAGCGUGCGCAGGCGGUUUUGCAAGACCGAUGUGAAAUCCCCGGGCUUAACCUGGGAAUGGCAUUGGUGACUGUACGGCUAGAGUGUGUCAGAGGGGGGUAGAAUUCCACGUGUAGCAGUGAAAUGCGUAGAGAUGUGGAGGAAUACCGAUGGCGAAGGCAGCCCCCUGGGAUGACACUGACGCUCAUGCACGAAAGCGUGGGGAGCAAACAGG